This 467-nucleotide ribosomal RNA is filed under the name uncultured bacterium. Its description in RNAcentral is "partial 16S ribosomal RNA". It matches the Rfam family "Bacterial small subunit ribosomal RNA", at positions 28 to 507 of the family's 1533-position model. The record is from RNAcentral.
GACGAACGCUGGCGGCGUGCUUAACACAUGCAAGUCGAACGGAAAGGCCUCUUUCGGGGGGUACUCGAGUGGCGAACGGGUGAGUAACACGUGAGUAACCUGCCCUUGACUUUGGGAUAACUUCAGGAAACUGGGGCUAAUACCGGAUAGGAGCUCCUGCUGCAUGGUGGGGGUUGGAAAGUUUCGGCGGUUGGGGAUGGACUCGCGGCUUAUCAGCUUGUUGGUGGGGUAGUGGCUUACCAAGGCUUUGACGGGUAGCCGGCCUGAGAGGGUGACCGGCCACCUUGGGACUGCGAUACGGCCCAGACUCCCACGUGAGGCAGCAGUGGGGAAUAUUGCACAAUGGGUGGAAGCCUGAUGCAGCAACGCCGUGUGCGGGAUGACGGCCUUCGGGUUGUAAACCGCUUUCGCUCAUGACGAAGCUUUGUGUGACGGUAGUGGGUAAAGAAGCACCGGCUAACUACGUG